UGGGGAAUAUUGGGCAAUGGGCGCAAGCCUGACCCAGCGACGCCGCGUGGGUGAUGAAGGCCUUCGGGUUGUAAAGCCCUGUCAUGUGGAAAGAACAGUCCCGUGGUGAAUAUCCACGGGAUUUGACGGUACCACAGGAGGAAGCACCGGCUAACUCCGUGCCAGCAGCCGCGGUAAUACGGAGGGUGCAAGCGUUGUUCGGAAUUAUUGGGCGUAAAGGGCGCGUAGGUGGUUGUGAAAGUCAGAUGUGAAAUACUUCGGCUCAACUGAAGAACUGCAUCUGAAACUUCAUAACUCGAGUACAGGAGAGGGAGACGGAAUUCCCGGUGUAGCGGUGAAAUGCGUAGAUAUCAGGAGGAACACCUGCGGUGUAGACGGCUUCCUGGACCAUGACUGACACUGAGGCACGAAAGCGUGGGUAGCAAACA
This 428-nucleotide ribosomal RNA is filed under the name uncultured prokaryote. RNAcentral describes it as "bacterial SSU rRNA". It matches the Rfam family "Bacterial small subunit ribosomal RNA", at positions 355 to 774 of the family's 1533-position model. The record is from RNAcentral.